UGGUCAGUACUUGGUUGGGGGAUCUCAAGGGAAAACAA
Molecule: ribosomal RNA, 38 nt
Filed under: Lepidothrix coronata (blue-crowned manakin)
Lineage: Eukaryota; Metazoa; Chordata; Aves; Passeriformes; Pipridae
Source: RNAcentral